Solanum pennellii is the source of this 1123-nucleotide long non-coding RNA. RefSeq lists it as uncharacterized. The transcript is spliced from 5 exons. NCBI's taxonomy places the organism in Eukaryota, Viridiplantae, Streptophyta, Magnoliopsida, Solanales, Solanaceae. The record is from RefSeq and is a predicted model, not a curated record.
UAAAACAAAAAUACUUUCUCUUUUCUUCUCCCUUUCCCUUUCCUUUUCUGAAGAACUACGCUUUCCCUUUCCUUUCUCUGAUAUUGUGCUGAAGAUCGAGCUUUUUUCUUGAAGUCACGCUUUCCCUGUCCUUCUCCAAGCUGAAGAACUCACAAUUUCUCUUAUCCGAGCUGAAUAUCGAACUGAAGAUCGAGCUAAAGAUCGAGCUGCAGAACUCACCGAGCUGACCGAUCUUUCGCUUCUCCGAGCUGAACAUUUCGUGAAGAUUUCUCGUUGAAGGACUUAAUUUCAGACAGUUUUAGGGUUCACCGGCUAUAAAACUCUUGAAACAUGAAGAUUCUUCUCUCCAGAUUUUGAUUUUCUCAACGAAAUGAAGAGUUAAUGCUAAAGAACUGGGGAUCGAAGAAAUAAAAAUCGAAGAGCUGAAGGACGGAAGCUGAAGAACUGAUUUCAUCAAUGUCCUUGGUGCCUGCAAUACUCACAGUAUGGGGGAUGUUUUCAUAUGGUCAUUCUUUCCAUUCAAGCUUGCCUUCAAUGGUCAUUCUUUGUUCUGUUCAGACAGUGUUGUAAUCAAGUUUAUUUUACAGUUGGGAAUAUCAGAAACUAGAGCAGCCAUUCACUGGCGAGCAUGGAAGACCCUGAAGAAGAGUAUUUCCCUUCUACCCUUAUUAGGUGUGUGAUCAAUCUCAUGUGUGAAUACUUUUUGACUUGGGAAUGAAUACUUUGAGCCGGCUAAUGUGAUUUCUUAUGCGGUGCACCAUCUCAUAUAUCAUUAAGCUGCCAAUCUUGAUCUACAUCACACUUUGAGGUAUUGGUAUUCUUUCGAUGACAUGCUUAUGUGAUCUAAGUCACUGCUAAAAGAGCUUUCUCUAUAUUCUUAGGCAGGACCUUGGCAACAACUGUGAUAUAAAGGUUUUAGGAGAGCGAGCUAUUGUCAUCUGCGAUUCAAUUUUCUUGACCUAUCAAACUAGUUGGAAAAACAAAAUUGUAGAUGAGUACCUUUAGCUUUGUGCGUCAAACAGACAAUGUACCAUUUCUAUCAAGAAAGACUUCAUAUGAUCUCUUGUAAUUUCAACAUUUUCUUUUUUAUCAAAUAUAGUAAUAAUUUCAUGUUGAGUUCCAA